Long non-coding RNA from Carassius carassius (crucian carp), 383 nucleotides. RefSeq lists it as uncharacterized. Lineage: Eukaryota; Metazoa; Chordata; Actinopteri; Cypriniformes; Cyprinidae. The transcript is spliced from 3 exons. The record is from RefSeq and is a predicted model, not a curated record.
AGUCCAGUGGAUUUCGUACGCAGAUGAUGCUAAUAUUCAGAGAAGUGGUUUAGGUCAAAGUAUUCGUUUGUCUCACUUUAGAAUGAUAACCCCUGAGAGUGAUAAGAUUGAGGAAAAGCUUUGUUUUUUUUUUUUAAAUCAGACGGACAAGUGAACUCUCCUUGUCGACUUAUUCAGGCUUAUUUGCUGUUGUAGUGGACUUUUUGGCCAGGGGGAGAAGGUGACUUGGAAGAGGCGGAGGUUUGUAUGUUCCUCACCAUGUUCAUUGUAAUGGCUGUGUGUAUUGCAGAUGUACUUAAACUUUAUACUGUACUGUAAUAUUUUGUGAAUGUAACAAAAUUGAACAAUCCUGUUUGAGUGUCUGUAAACAAUAAACAAGAUAA